ACUUGGAUAACUGUAGUAAUUCUAGAGCUAAUACAUGAAUAUGUGCUUUGGUUCACGCCAAAUGCGAAUUUAUUAGAUCAAAACCAACCGGUUUCGGCCGUUAAAUUGGUGACUCUGGAUAACUAUUCUGAUCGCAUGACCUUGUGUCGGCGACGUAUCUUUCAAGUGUCUGCCCUAUCAACUUAAGUUGGUGAGUUAGUUGCUCACCAUGGUUAUAACGGGUAACGGAGAAUCAGUGUUCGAUACCGGAGAGGGAGCCUUAGAAACGGCUACCACAUCUAAGGAAGGCAGCAGGCGCGCAAAUUACCCACUCUCAGAACGAGGAGGUAGUGAAUUUAAAUAGCGAUGAUGAACUCUUAUGAGGCUCGUCAAUCGAAAUGAGUACAAUUUAAAUCCUUUAACGAGUACCAAUUGGAGGGCAAGUCUGGUGCCAGCAGCCGCGGUAAUUCCAGCUCCAAUAGCGAAUAUUAAAUUUGUUGCAGUUAAAAAGCUCGUAGUUGGAUCCAAGGUUAGGCAUGCCUGUCUGUUCUUAGUAGCAUGACUGUGUGUGUCUGCCUUUAUUAGUUGAAUGUUCAUUAUGGUGGUCUUCAUCGACUGCUAUGAUGUGCUCAACACGUUUACCUUGAAAAAAUCAGAGCGAUCAAGGCAGGCCUUCGUGCUUGUAUGUUGUUGCAAGGAAUAAUAGAAUAGGACUUCGGUUCUAUUUUGUUGGUUUUGAGAAUUGAAGUAAUGAACAAUAGAGACAGUCGGGGGCAUUUGUAUGGUGGCGUUAGAGGUGAAAUUCUGAGAUCGUCGCCAGACAAACUACUGCGAAAGCAUUUGCCAAGGAUGUCUUCAUUAAUCAAGAACGAAAGUCAGAGGUUCGAAGACGAUCAGAUACCGUCCUAGUUCUGACCAUAAACGAUGCCGACCUACAAUCGGGGGUGGUUUAUUAUAUUGACCCUCCCGGCUGUCCUCAGGAAACUUUAAGUUGGUUCUGGGGGGAAUAUGGUCUCAAGACUGAAACUUAAAGGAAUUGACGGGAGGGCACCACCAGGAGUGGAGCCUGCGGCUUAAUUUGACCCAACACGGGGAAUCUCACCCGGUCCGGACACUGGUAGGAUGGACAGAUUGAUAGCUCUUUCUUGAUUCAGUGGGUGGUGGUGCAUGGCCGUUCUUAGUUGGUGGAGUGAUUUGUCUGGUUAAUUCCGAUAACGAACGAGACUCUGUCCUGCUAAAUAGUCCAGUGGCAUCAAUC
Molecule: ribosomal RNA, 1237 nt
Filed under: metagenome
Description: SSU rRNA
Rfam family: Eukaryotic small subunit ribosomal RNA
Source: RNAcentral